GGGCAAGUGGCGGAACUGGCAGACGCGCCGGCCUUAGGAGCCGGUGGGGCAACCCGUGCGGGUUCGAGUCCCGCCUUGCCCACCA
Molecule: transfer RNA, 85 nt
Filed under: Dehalococcoidia bacterium
Lineage: Bacteria; Bacillati; Chloroflexota; Dehalococcoidia
Description: tRNA-Leu
Rfam family: tRNA
About the family: Transfer RNA (tRNA) molecules are approximately 80 nucleotides in length. Their secondary structure includes four short double-helical elements and three loops (D, anti-codon, and T loops). Further hydrogen bonds mediate the characteristic L-shaped molecular structure. tRNAs have two regions of fundamental functional importance: the anti-codon, which is responsible for specific mRNA codon recognition, and the 3' end, to which the tRNAs corresponding amino acid is attached (by aminoacyl-tRNA synthetases). tRNAs cope with the degeneracy of the genetic code in two manners: having more than one tRNA (with a specific anti-codon) for a particular amino acid; and 'wobble' base-pairing, i.e. permitting non-standard base-pairing at the 3rd anti-codon position.
Source: RNAcentral